CCUACGGGAGGCAGCAGUGGGGAAUAUUGCACAAUGGGGGAAACCCUGAUGCAGCGACGCCGCGUGAAGGAAGAAGUAUCUCGGUAUGUAAACUUCUAUCAGCAGGGAAGAUAGUGACGGUACCUGACUAAGAAGCACCGGCUAAAUACGUGCCAGCAGCCGCGGUAAUACGUAUGGUGCAAGCGUUAUCCGGAUUUACUGGGUGUAAAGGGAGCGUAGACGGAGUGGCAAGUCUGAUGUGAAAACCCGGGGCUCAACCCCGGGACUGCAUUGGAAACUGUCAAUCUAGAGUACCGGAGAGGUAAGCGGAAUUCCUAGUGUAGCGGUGAAAUGCGUAGAUAUUAGGAGGAACACCAGUGGCGAAGGCGGCUUACUGGACGGUAACUGACGUUGAGGCUCGAAAGCGUGGGGAGCAAACAGGAUU
RNAcentral lists this ribosomal RNA (424 nucleotides) under uncultured Lactococcus sp. Its description in RNAcentral is "bacterial SSU rRNA". It matches the Rfam family "Bacterial small subunit ribosomal RNA", at positions 338 to 779 of the family's 1533-position model. Lineage: Bacteria; Bacillati; Bacillota; Bacilli; Lactobacillales; Streptococcaceae. The record is from RNAcentral.